This 526-nucleotide ribosomal RNA is filed under the name Piaractus mesopotamicus (pacu). RNAcentral's name for it is "partial large subunit ribosomal RNA". It matches the Rfam family "Bacterial large subunit ribosomal RNA", at positions 1848 to 2571 of the family's 2925-position model. The record is from RNAcentral. Lineage: Eukaryota; Metazoa; Chordata; Actinopteri; Characiformes; Serrasalmidae.
GGAGGUCCUGCCUGCCCAGUGACAACUAGUUAAACGGCCGCGGUAUUUUGACCGUGCUAAGGUAGCGCAAUCACUUGUCUUUUAAAUGAGGACCUGUAUGAAUGGCGGAACGAGGGCUUAACUGUCUCCUUUUCCUAGUCAAUGAAAUUGAUCUACCCGUGCAGAAGCGGGUAUACUAAUACAAGACGAGAAGACCCUUUGGAGCUUAAGAUAAAAGGCCAACUAUGUCAAAGGCCCAAAUAAAACUAAGCCAAACAAAACAGCCAACUGGCCAAUAUCUUCGGUUGGGGCGACCGCGGGGGAAAACAAAGCCCCCACGUGGAACGGGGAAUAUACCCUAAAACCAAGAGAGACAUCUCUAAGUCACAGAACAUCUGACCAAAAGAUCCGGCCAACCAAGCCGAUCAACGGACCAAGUUACCCUAGGGAUAACAGCGCAAUCCCCUCCAAGAGUUCAUAUCGACAAGGGGGUUUACGACCUCGAUGUUGGAUCAGGACAUCCUAAUGGUGCAGCCGCUAUUAAGGA